RNAcentral lists this ribosomal RNA (460 nucleotides) under uncultured bacterium. RNAcentral describes it as "partial 16S ribosomal RNA". It matches the Rfam family "Bacterial small subunit ribosomal RNA", at positions 338 to 795 of the family's 1533-position model. The record is from RNAcentral.
CCUACGGGGGACAGCAGUGAGGAAUAUUGGUCAAUGGGCGGAAGCCUGAACCAGCCAAGUCGCGUGAGGGAUUAAGGCCCUGCGGGUCGUAAACCUCUUUUGCCGGGGAGCAGAGGUCCGGACGUGUCCGGGCCGGGAGAGUACCCGGAGAAAAAGCAUCGGCUAACUCCGUGCCAGCAGCCGCGGUAAUACGGAGGAUGCGAGCGUUAUCCGGAUUUAUUGGGUUUAAAGGGUGCGUAGGCGGGCAUUUAAGCCGGCGGUCAAAUGUCGGGGCUCAACCCCGGCCUGCCGUCGGAACUGGGUGCCUUGAGUGGGCGAGAAGUAGGCGGAAUGCGUGGUGUAGCGGUGAAAUGCAUAGAUAUCACGCAGAACCCCGAUUGCGAAGGCAGCAUACCGGCGCCCUACUGACGCUGAGGCACGAAAGUGCGGGUAUCGAACAGGAUUAGAUACACCAGGAGUC